AUUUGAAAUCUGGUACCUUCGGUGCCCGAGUUGUAAUUUGGAGAGGGCAACUUUGGGGCCGUUCCUUGUCUAUGUUCCUUGGAACAGGACGUCAUAGAGGGUGAGAAUCCCGUGUGGCGAGGAGUGCGGUUCUUUGUAAAGUGCCUUCGAAGAGUCGAGUUGUUUGGGAAUGCAGCUCUAAGUGGGUGGUAAAUUCCAUCUAAAGCUAAAUAUUGGCGAGAGACCGAUAGCGAACAAGUACAGUGAUGGAAAGAUGAAAAGAACUUUGAAAAGAGAGUGAAAAAGUACGUGAAAUUGUUGAAAGGGAAGGGCAUUUGAUCAGACAUGGUGUUUUGUGCCCUCUGCUCCUUGUGGGUAGGGGAAUCUCGCAUUUCACUGGGCCAGCAUCAGUUUUGGUGGCAGGAUAAAUCCAUAGGAAUGUAGCUUGCCUCGGUAAGUAUUAUAGCCUGUGGGAAUACUGCCAGCUGGGACUGAGGACUGCGACGUAAGUCAAGGAUGCUGGCAUAAUGGUUAUAUGCCGCCCGU
This 525-nucleotide ribosomal RNA is filed under the name Saccharomyces cerevisiae (brewer's yeast). Its description in RNAcentral is "partial large subunit ribosomal RNA". It matches the Rfam family "Eukaryotic large subunit ribosomal RNA", at positions 113 to 652 of the family's 3401-position model. Lineage: Eukaryota; Fungi; Ascomycota; Saccharomycetes; Saccharomycetales; Saccharomycetaceae. The record is from RNAcentral.